AGUGGACGCUGGCGGUAGGCCUAACACAUGCAAGUCGAACGGCAGCACAGUAAGAGCUUGCUCUUACGGGUGGCGAGUGGCGGACGGGUGAGGAAUACAUCGGAAUCUACUUUUUCGUGGGGGAUAACGUAGGGAAACUUACGCUAAUACCGCAUACGACCUACGGGUGAAAGCAGGGGAUCUUCGGACCUUGCGCGAUUGAAUGAGCCGAUGUCGGAUUAGCUAGUUGGCGGGGUAAAGGCCCACCAAGGCGACGAUCCGUAGCUGGUCUGAGAGGAUGAUCAGCCACACUGGAACUGAGACACGGUCCAGACUCCUACGGGAGGCAGCAGUGGGGAAUAUUGGACAAUGGGCGCAAGCCUGAUCCAGCCAUACCGCGUGGGUGAAGGAGGCCUUCGGGUUGUAAAGCCCUUUUGUUGGGAAAGAAAAGCAGCAGGUUAAUACCCCGCUGUUCUGACGGUACCCAAAGAAUAAGCACCGGCUAACUUCGUG
Molecule: ribosomal RNA, 492 nt
Filed under: uncultured bacterium
Lineage: Bacteria
Description: partial 16S ribosomal RNA
Rfam family: Bacterial small subunit ribosomal RNA
Source: RNAcentral